RNAcentral lists this unclassified non-coding RNA (240 nucleotides) under soil metagenome. RNAcentral's name for it is "partial contains 5.8S ribosomal RNA, internal transcribed spacer 2, and large subunit ribosomal RNA". The record is from RNAcentral.
AACGAGGCCGACCUGCGGCUGAGUUACCUGCGGAGGGAUCAUUACUGAGGAGGGUCCAUGGCCCGAUCUCCAACCCUUUGAUAAAAACACCAUGUUGCUUUGGCAGGCCCGCCCGUUGGGGCCGCGGGGGAUCGCCGGUCCCUAGCCCGUGCCUGCCGGUAGCCUUCACAAAACUCUCAAAAUGUUGUCGUCUGAGAUGAUUAGAAUAAUAAAACUUUUAGCAACGGAUCUCAGAUCGGA